GACGAACGCUGGCGGCGUGCUUAACACAUGCAAGUCGAACGGAAAGGCCCUGCUUUUGUGGGGUGCUCGAGUGGCGAACGGGUGAGUAACACGUGAGUAACCUGCCCUUGACUUUGGGAUAACUUCAGGAAACUGGGGCUAAUACCGGAUAGGAGCUCCUGCUGCAUGGUGGGGGUUGGAAAGUUUCGGCGGUUGGGGAUGGACUCGCGGCUUAUCAGCUUGUUGGUGGGGUAUUGGCUUACCAAGGCUUUGACGGGUAGCCGGCCUGAGAGGGUGACCGGCGACAUGGGGGUGACGUGAGGCAGCGGGGUCCAACGGGAGGCAGAAGGGGGGAUGAGGGCACAAUGGGGCGGAGCCGGAGAGAGCAGCGGCGGGGGCGGAAUGAGGGCCGUCGGUGGAAAAAAAGAUGUCGCCUGUAACGGACAUGGAGGGAGGGCAAUGAGUAAGAAAGCACCCGCCAACUACGUC
This 468-nucleotide ribosomal RNA is filed under the name uncultured bacterium. RNAcentral's name for it is "partial 16S ribosomal RNA". The stretch from base 20 to 332 matches the Rfam family "Bacterial small subunit ribosomal RNA", at positions 47 to 358 of the family's 1533-position model. The record is from RNAcentral.